RNAcentral lists this long non-coding RNA (390 nucleotides) under Nicotiana benthamiana. Its description in RNAcentral is "long non-coding RNA (NBEN_LNC007754)". The record is from RNAcentral. Lineage: Eukaryota; Viridiplantae; Streptophyta; Magnoliopsida; Solanales; Solanaceae.
ACACCGGUAAGAGAUCUUUUUUUGCAGAUAUGUAGCAGGUGAUUUCGGCACAGUGAGAAUGGGUAAUACAAGUUACUCAAAGAUUGCGGGGAUUGGUGACAUUUGUAUCAAGACAAAUGUCGGAUGCACAUUGGUUCUAAAGGAUGUGCGGCAUGUACCUGAUACAGCAGCAUCUUACCAUGCCACACUGGUAAGAGAUCUUUUUUUGCAGAUAUGUAGCAGGUGAUUUCGGCACAGUGAGAAUGGGUAACACGAGUUACUCAAAGAUUGCUGGGAUUGGUGACAUUUGUAUAAAGACAAAUGUCAGAUGCACAUUGGUUCUAAAGGAUGUGCAGCAUGUACCUGAUUUGCGGAUGAACUUGAUAUCGGGGAUUGCUUUGGACCGAGAUG